This 515-nucleotide ribosomal RNA is filed under the name uncultured bacterium. RNAcentral describes it as "partial 16S ribosomal RNA". It matches the Rfam family "Bacterial small subunit ribosomal RNA", at positions 28 to 523 of the family's 1533-position model. The record is from RNAcentral.
GAUGAACGCUGGCGGCGUGCCUAAUGCAUGCAAGUCGAGCGAAUGGAUUAAGAGCUUGCUCUUAUGAAGUUAGCGGCGGACGGGUGAGUAACACGUGGGUAACCUGCCCAUAAGACUGGGAUAACUCCGGGAAACCGGGGCUAAUACCGGAUAACAUUUUGAACCGCAUGGUUCGAAAUUGAAAGGCGGCUUCGGGUGUCACUUAUGGAUGGACCCGCGUCGCAUUAGCUAGUUGGUGAGGUAACGGCUCACCAAGGCAACGAUGCGUAGCCGGCCUGAGAGGGUGAUCGGCCACACGGGGACUGAGACACGGCCCAGACUCCUACGGGAGGCAGCAGUAGGGAAUCUUCCGCAAUGGACGAAAGUCUGACGGAGCAACGCCGCGUGAGUGAUGAAGGCUUUCGGGUCGUAAAACUCUGUUGUUAGGGAAGAACAAGUGCUAGUUGAAUAAGCUGGCACCUUGACGGUACCUAACCAGAAAGCCACGGCUAACUACGUGCCAGCCGCCGCAGUAA